AACGUAGGAGACAAACGUUAUCCGGAGUUACUGGGCGUAAAGGGCGUGUAGGUGGUUUUGUAAGUCUGGCGUGAAAAUUUUCGGCUUAACCGGGAAAGGUCGUCGGAUACUGCAGGACUAGAGGACGGUAGAGGCGUGUGGAAUUCCGGGUGUAGUGGUGAAAUGCGUAGAGAUCCGGAGGAACACCAGUGGCGAAGGCGACACGCUGGGCCGUACCUGACACUGAUGCGCGACAGCAUGGGGAGCAAACAGG
This 253-nucleotide ribosomal RNA is filed under the name uncultured bacterium. Its description in RNAcentral is "partial 16S ribosomal RNA". It matches the Rfam family "Bacterial small subunit ribosomal RNA", at positions 524 to 776 of the family's 1533-position model. The record is from RNAcentral.